ACUGAGUGGAUUGGAGCUUUCCAUUAUGCUGAGAGUGUCACAUAAAUUCCCAUGUGGAGGUCAUGGACUACAUCACAAAGAUUGGCCACAAUUUCAGAAUAAAAAAAUGGUUGGAAAUCAAAUGCCAUGCUCAGCCUCGUGGUGCUGUUUUACCAUCUCAUCCCAGGUAAUCGCUGUCAUUUUGAAGAAAUUCGUUAUUGUCUGCUGAACACUUUUUCAAGUGCUUUUGUGACUAUCUUGAUAAUAACAAGAAGAUGAGAAGCAGGAAAAGUAGCAUUCACCCCAACAGCAAUAAAAAUCUAACUGUGUGCCCUGAACA
Molecule: long non-coding RNA, 319 nt
Filed under: Pogona vitticeps (central bearded dragon)
Lineage: Eukaryota; Metazoa; Chordata; Lepidosauria; Squamata; Agamidae
Description: lncRNA (ENSPVIG00000003037.1)
Source: RNAcentral